CAAGCCAUUAAGAAAUCACCGCGCAUCCACCUACCCGUCCUUAUCCUCUCUCCUCCUCCCUCCUCCCUCCUCCCUCCAUAUCCAGCCCUCUCUUCCUUCCUAGUCCCUCCAGAUCCAACACCUCCUCCCUCAGAUCCACAGGCGGCAGCACCGCGGGCGAUCGGAGGAGAGGGUGGUGGCGGGCUCGGGGCGCGGGCGGCGUGCUCGGGUGUGGGCGAUAGCGCUCGGGUGCGGGCGACGGAGGAGAGUGCGGCGGCGAGCUCGGGGCGCGGGUGGUGAGGUCAGGCGUGGGCGGCGGCGCUCGGGCACGGGUGACGGAGGAGAGGCGGCGUGAGGUCAGGCGUAGGCGGCCGGGCGGCGGCGCUCGGCGACAGGGAGGCCGAGGCGGCGGAUCCGCGACGGGGAGGCGCGAGGUGGCGGAUCCGGCGAUGGGGAGGUGCGAGGUGGCGGAUCCGCGACGGGAAGGCCAAGCGGCGGAUCCACAGCGGUGGUGGCGAGGCGGAGGCGGUGGAGGUCGCCGGGGCUCGGCAGCAGGGUCGUCGAGGCGGUGGAGGUCGCCGGGGCUCGGCAGCAGCGUCGUCGAGGCGGAGGCGGUUGAGGCCGACGGGGCUCGGUAGUGGCAACGGUGAUGGUGCAGGGGACUUCAAGGACGACGACGCCGGCGACAGCGGUUCUCUGUAUUUGUGAUGCUUGUAAUAUUUGUGAUGAUAUUUGUGAAGCAUUGUAUUUGGAUUGAUGCUUGGUGUUCAAAUUUUUUGUUAAAUGUGUGGAUAUUUUUGAUGCUUGAAUGCUUGGGAGAAUGGAAAUUUUUAGCUGUAAAUUGUACAUGUAAAUUUAUGUGUGGAUGGAGCGCAGACGGAGGUGGA
This is a long non-coding RNA of Oryza sativa Japonica Group (Japanese rice), 866 nucleotides long. RefSeq lists it as uncharacterized. Lineage: Eukaryota; Viridiplantae; Streptophyta; Magnoliopsida; Poales; Poaceae. The record is from RefSeq and is a predicted model, not a curated record.